Molecule: long non-coding RNA, 608 nt
Filed under: Canis lupus familiaris (dog)
Lineage: Eukaryota; Metazoa; Chordata; Mammalia; Carnivora; Canidae
Description: lncRNA (ENSCAFG00030012718.1)
Source: RNAcentral
AGACUCUUGAUGCUUUUCAUUACCUUGGUGGAAGAAAAAGAAGGAAUGAAAUGCAAAAGCACAAUGGGAAGACUUUUAAUAGAGUGUCUUCCCAGGUGAAGGAGCAUUACAAGUGCUACAGUCUUCAACAUAAUCUAUGGCUGCUGAACUUAAUAGUCUUCUGUGUGCAUAUCUGAAGAAAUUCUAUGCAUUGGGUCUAAGCCUUUGUGAAUAGACAUGAUUCACGGAGUGACAACUACUGAAAAUGCAGGCUUAGGUGGAAUUCUUCUUCCAAUUAGGUGUACUUGCAUUCUGGGAAGCAGUGGUGCUGGCUACAUAUCCUCAUGGACAAAUGAAAGAACCUUGUACCCCAACCUGGCUCUCAUCACAGGUGAGUACUGUUCCACCAUGGCUUACCACAGUCUAGUCUACAGGUUGUUUUUUUUUUUUUUUUUUAUUGGUGUUCAAUUUACUAACAUACAGAAUAACACCCAGUGCCCGUCACCCAUUCACUCCCACCCCCCGCCCUCCUCCCCUUCUACCACCCCUAGUUCGUUUCCCAGAGUUAGCAGUCUUUACGUUCUGUCUCCCUUUCUGAUAUUUCCCACACAUUUCUUCUCCCUUCCCUU